This 441-nucleotide ribosomal RNA is filed under the name uncultured bacterium. RNAcentral describes it as "partial 16S ribosomal RNA". It matches the Rfam family "Bacterial small subunit ribosomal RNA", at positions 338 to 795 of the family's 1533-position model. The record is from RNAcentral.
CCUACGGGUGGCAGCAGUGGGGAAUAUUGCACAAUGGGGGAAACCCUGAUGCAGCGACGCCGCGUGCGUGAAGAAGUAUUUCGGUAUGUAAAGCUCUAUCAGCAGGGACGAAGAAAGAUGGUACCUGACUAAGAAGCACCGGCUAACUCCGUGCCAGCAGCCGCGGUAACACGUAGGGGGCACGCGUUAUCCGGAUUUACUGGGUGUAAAGGGAGCGUAGGCGGCUUUGCAAGUCUGAAGUGAAAGCCCAGGGCUCAACCCUGGAACUGCUUUGGAAAUUGUGGAGCUAGAGUGCUGGAGAGGUAAGUGGAAUGCCUGGUGUAGCGGUGAAAUGCGUAGAUAUGAGGAGGAACACCAGUGGCGAAGGCGGCUUACUGGACAGUAACUGACGUUGAGGCUCGAAAGCGUGGGGAGCAAACAGGAUUAGAUACCCGUGUAGUC